UACAAGAUGGUUGAGAUAAACAAUAAACUGUAAAUUUAUAUACGGGUAUACACCCUCUUGUGU
This 63-nucleotide transfer RNA is filed under the name Amynthas conformis. Its description in RNAcentral is "tRNA-Tyr". Lineage: Eukaryota; Metazoa; Annelida; Clitellata; Crassiclitellata; Megascolecidae. The record is from RNAcentral.